Molecule: non-coding RNA, 148 nt
Filed under: Pan paniscus (pygmy chimpanzee)
Lineage: Eukaryota; Metazoa; Chordata; Mammalia; Primates; Hominidae
Also listed under: 1 other name
Source: Rfam by way of RNAcentral
GCCAGGUGUGGUGGCGCAUGCCUGUAAACCCAGCUACUCAGGAGGCUGAGGCAGGAGAAUUGCUUGAACCCAGGAGGCAGAGGUUGCAGUGAGCCAAGAUCACGCCACUGCACUCCAGCCUGGGUGACAGAGCAAGACUCUGUCUCAA